Molecule: long non-coding RNA, 848 nt
Filed under: Mytilus galloprovincialis (Mediterranean mussel)
Lineage: Eukaryota; Metazoa; Mollusca; Bivalvia; Mytilida; Mytilidae
Source: RNAcentral
UAGAACUUUCUAAACACUAAUUUCUUGCUUUUUGUGUUUCUGGUUUGAAUGUUAAUAUCCUUAGGACAAACUAUCAGUGUAGCAGUGUCGGAAGCUGAACUAGAAAUGUUUAACUUUCAAUUACAUAUGACAUAGAUAUAGGAAGAUGUGGUAUGAGUGCCAAUAAGACAACUCUCCAUCCAAAUAACAAUUUAUAAAAGUAAACCAUUAUAAGUCAAUGUACGGCCUUCAACACGGAGCAUUGGCUCACACCGAACAACAAGAUAUAAAGGGCCCCAAAAUUACUAGUAUAAGCAGGGGCGGAUCCAGCCAUUUUAAAAGGGGGGUUCCAAUCCCCGGACCCCCCCCCUGGAUCCGCGCCUGCUAAAACAAUUCAAACGUUUAACUCGUGUGCCAAGAUCAUCAAAUGAUACCCUUAAACUUUCAAGAUUAUCAAUGGUGAUAUUGGAAAUUUUCAGUGACUUAUGAGUGAAUUUCGUCGAAGCCCCUAUAAUCACUUCCUUUAUGUAUCAUUAUAAACUAUAUGAAUAAUUUGAUAUUAGUCUGCUGCCAGAUAAUUAAGGAUUGACGAAAAGGGGGAUUACAUGUAUAUAGAAUUGAGUGUACAUAUACACAUGGAAAAGGUAUUGCCACACUUCCACUGAAGACAAUGUAAAAUGACUUGAUUGUAGGAUUUGUAUAAUUUGGGUUUUGCCAAAUACUUUUAAACCGUUUAUGUUUUAAAAUUGAAUUUGUAAUAUUAACUUUCAUUUUGUGGAAAAUUUAAGACUGGAGAGUUGUACUGAUAAAACUAUUCAAGCUUUGUUUUGUCUUCUAAACCGACAUUUUAUAUAAAAGUAAUUUUUGCA